AAGAUGAUAAGCAAAAGGCAUUUAAAAAGAUUAAUAAAAAUGGAAAAAGAAACGUUUGUGAAAAAAGUUAUAAAUGUUGGGGUAGAAAAUGUGGACAGCUCACAAAAAGACAAGGAAUAUGUUGAAAGUAGUAAUUUAAGUGAAAAUAGAGCAGAACAGAUUAAAAUAGUGACUGAAUGUGAAAGUUCUACAGAGAGUGGCAAGAGAAAUAUAAGCGACAAAUUAAUGGAAUGGAACAUAAAACAUAGACCUUCACGCAAUUGCGUAAAGGACUUAAUAGAAAUUCUUAAGGAAGAACAGAUUGUUGUCACUCCAUUUUAUAAAUUCAAUUGUUCAGAUAGGCCGAUAGUGGAAAAAAUUGCAGGUGGGUCAUAUGGUAUGUCACGCAACUUAAAGGGGAUAGCCGCUGUCGUAAAAUUGCCUGAAAACAUUGUAAUUGGCGUUAACAUAGACGGGUUGCCUCUCUUUAAAAGCGCAAAUUUUAAUUAGAAUUAUCAAUAUAGAAAAUCAUCCAGUAUUCCCAGUUGGUGUUUUUGUUGGGAAAAGUAAACCGGUUGAAUGUGGAGAAUUUCUCUCAAAAUUUGUUGAUGAAAUGUCAUCCUAUUAUGAAACUGGUUUGGAAUUACAAGGUGAUAUUUACAGAAUUAAAAUAAGAGCAGAUCUUUGUGAUGCUCCAGCUAAAGCAUUCAUUUCUGGUACACCAUCUCAUACGUCGCGACACGGAUGCUCAAAGUGCACGCAAAUAGCACGAAAAAUUGAUGGAACUUUAACGUAUAGCACAUCAAGUGCAAUACUUAUUUCAGAUGACGAUUUUUCAGCUCGGAAAUAUCCUUCUCACCAUAUGACAAAGUAUUUGGCAAAAAAAAAACUCCUUUAGAACACCUCAAUUUAUCCAUGAUUACGCAAAUGCCAUUAGAUUGCAUGCAUUUGGUAGAUUUAGGCGUCAUGCGAAAGUUUUUACUGCGAUUAAUUAAUAAGAAAACUUUUUUCCAAGUUCCAAUUGGAAAUAUGCAAAACAUUUCAAAAAAAUGAUUUCUCUCCGAGGUUAUAUUUCACGUGAAUUUUGGAUGAUAUAUCAUAUUGGAAAGCCACUGAGUUCAGACAGUUUUUACUGUAUACUGGUAUCGUUGUUCUUAAAAACGAGGUACAUGAAGAUGUUUUCUACGAAUUUUUGUUAUUGCAUUGUUCGUAUAGAAUGAUAUGCUGUCCAAAGCAAUGCAUCAACAAUUUGCAAACAAUUAAAAUUCUUUUAAACUUGUUCGUAGAAAACUUCCCAAUCAUUUUUGGGGAAAAUAGUGUUUCGUACAACGUACAUAAUCUCCUUCAUCUCAAAUGCACUAUAGAAGUUAUUAAUAGUGAGAAUUAUUUGCAGAGUCUAAAAAAAUGUGUAAAAAGGCCAUCAAAGAUUUUGGAACAAGUAUUUCGGAAAGUAGUUGAAGAAAAAUUUUGCAUAAAAAAGUAAGCAAAGGCCUUAACUCAGUUGAAAACAAUUUUUUCUUUAAUAAUUGUUGUUUAACGACGAAGUCACCGGACAAUAUUUGCUACAUAGAACCUGGAAUACCUGUGCAGGUCCAUGGUUUUUGACAAGAAAAUGGUGGUACGUUAAUAGGACGGAAAUUUUUAAACAUACAGAGUUUUUAUAAAAAGCCAUGUGACUCAAUUACACUUGGAAUUUUUUAGUAGACACUAAAAUUUCGGACAAUAUUGAUUAUUUUCAAUUGAGUGGCAUACAAACUAAAGCUGUUAAAUUUCCUUAUAUAUCACAAUUCAUUUUAAUUCCCAUUUUACAUGCCUGUCUUUAAUGCUUUUCGUAACCGUCCUUUUUUUAAACAUUAAGAACAUAGAACACUAUGAAUUCUUCGCUUAGUCCCACAAGACAAAUAAAACGCAUAAAGAUCGCUAAUUAUUCCGAAGACCAAACACCAGAUCAAACACCAACAUAAAUGAAUUGUUUAAAAAAAUUGAGCAAUUAAACGGAUCCACAAACAGCAUACAAGGACAGAUGAACGUGCUGCUAGGUCAAAUGAAGUUAAUUUCUGAAGCCCUGGCAGAGAACAAAGUAUUAAUUAGCAAAUGUUUACACCAAACUUGUGAAGACGACUCACUAUUAGAAAUAUUUCCAAUAGAAACGGAAGAAAGAUUGACUGAAAUCGAAUC
Molecule: long non-coding RNA, 2157 nt
Organism: Musca domestica (house fly)
Lineage: Eukaryota; Metazoa; Arthropoda; Insecta; Diptera; Muscidae
Exons: 3
Source: RefSeq, a predicted model, not a curated record